This 434-nucleotide ribosomal RNA is filed under the name uncultured bacterium. Its description in RNAcentral is "bacterial SSU rRNA". It matches the Rfam family "Bacterial small subunit ribosomal RNA", at positions 28 to 478 of the family's 1533-position model. The record is from RNAcentral.
GAUGAACGCUGGCGGCGUGCUUAACACAUGCAAGUCGAACGGGAUCCAUCAGGCUUUGCUUGGUGGUGAGAGUGGCGAACGGGUGAGUAAUGCGUGACCGACCUGCCCCAUACACCGGAAUAGCUCCUGGAAACGGGUGGUAAUGCCGGAUGCUCCAGUUGAUCGCAUGGUCUUCUGGGAAAGCUUUCGCGGUAUGGGAUGGGGUCGCGUCCUAUCAGCUUGACGGCGGGGUAACGGCCCACCGUGGCUUCGACGGGUAGCCGGACUGAGAGGUUGAACGGCCACAUUGGGACUGAGACACGGCCCAGACUCCUACGGGAGGCAGCAGUGGGGAAUAUUGCACAAUGGGCGCAAGCCUGAUGCAGCGACGCCGCGUGGAGGAAGAAGGUUUUCGGAUUGUAAACUCCUGUCGUUAGGGACGAUAAUGACGGUAC